Molecule: long non-coding RNA, 848 nt
Organism: Pseudophryne corroboree (corroboree frog)
Lineage: Eukaryota; Metazoa; Chordata; Amphibia; Anura; Myobatrachidae
Exons: 2
Source: RefSeq, a predicted model, not a curated record
UCGGCACAUUGUGAUGUCAUCGGCCCAUGGCCUGUGGCUAUAUAAUCUCUCAUCCAGGCAGUUUACUGCAAUAACAUCUUGGAAGCUUCAACAGAAUAUCUCAAGUCACCAAUAUGCCUAACGCCGGAGUUGCCCACAUACCACUAUGGAAUUCAUACAGCUCCAUGCAACCCCGCCCACCCAAGAAGCCUGCAGGUCACAUGCAGAAAAAGAAGACCACCGCUGGCCGCAGGCAGAAACGCCAGGCUGCCGUGGCCUGCAGUCUACCAGAGGAAACAUUGGUAGAGUACCUGCGCCGGGCAUAUAAAAUGCUGCCAAAACACCCUGUGGCGCACCAGGCUGAACAUCAUCAGUAGCUCGCAGUCUGCGGCCAAGCCCAGUGUGAGGCCUCAGGACUAGCCUAGCUGGUGGCCCUAUAAUUCCUGGCCACCAUGGAGGCCUUGUGGUGGUUUUUUAGAUAGGCAAGAGCAGUCAAAAAAAAAAAAAAAAAAAUUAACAACAAAAAAAGACAACUCUGAUAAAAAAAACAACAACAUCAAACACCGUUAUUGGUACUUGUAGCUAGAAGCUGUUUUUUUUUUCAUUUAUAUUUUCUUGAUUAGGAAAAUGGAAUCUCAUAUUAAUGCUGUGAUACAUUGCUAUCUAUCCAAUAUAUUCCAGUAGAUAGCAAUGUUUCUCAGCAUUAAUAUGGAAUCUGAUAUUAAUGCUGUGAAAUGUUGCUAUCUACUGGAAUAUAUUGGAUAGAUAGCAAUGUAUCACAGCAUUAAUAUGUUAUUCCAUUUUCCUUUUCAUGAAAACAUUAAUGGGGGGUUUUUUAUGUUAAAACCAGUUAUUGCGUUUCCCAACAA